CUCUCUCUGCUCCUGUGCCGCACACCAUUUAGAUAGCAUUGGCUCGCCGCAGAGACGUCGCCAGCUCGCCACCAUGAGCUACAGAGGUGGGGGGAGCAGCGAAGGGGCCGAGCGCUGUCGUAUGUCAUGCGGCGGCCACACCGCAGGUAGCCACUAACGGAAACUACGCGCACGCACGCACCGGUCGCCGUCGUGCCGCGAGCUUCGCCUGGCUGUGCACUGCCGCAACCACACGUGAGUUCUUCCGAAACGCACCGCCCACAGUCGACCUGCGAGCCACACAUGCACCGCCACGAAGCGCUGCUUGAUCCCCUCCAUGGACUCGUGCUCGCCAUCGCAGUCCGUCGCCCCGGCCACGAAGAGGGCCAAGAUCCAUGGAGCUGCUCGUGGGGUGAGCAUAUCGUCCUCGUGCUCCUCAAUUCUGCUGGGGUAUCGUUUGGGCUGGGUGGCAGAGAUGGCGAAUUCCUCCUCGGGUGUCUCAGGGUGGUACACCUCCUAUAUUUUGAGAAAUAAAACUUAUGGUUAUAUGAUAUCAUCUAAGGUGAAACGUUGAAAGGGCUCUUGGAUUGUAUGCCUCGCUCAGGUUGGUGCGGUCUUAUAUUUCAAGAAAUAAAAUCUUGUGGUUAUAUGCUAUCAGUUAAUGUGAACCCGUGAAAGGCCGCUUGAAUUGUAUGCCUCGCUCAGUUGUCAACAAAAUACAGCCAGUAGAGAAGUUAGAAGGAUUUUGAGCUCUAAAGUCCAGGUAUCAAUCCACUUGACUGCACCGAUCUCUGGCCAUUUAAUUCAUGAAUCAACGGAUUUAUCUAUAAGAGAGUAAUUGUCUAUAAGAUAGAACUUGCUUGCAUGCAUUUCAUAGAUAAUAAAUCUGUAAAGAGAAGUUAGGAGGUAACAUACAUAUCUGAAUAUUUACACUUCAUAUACAGACCCAAUACAUCUUCAAUUCAGAGGUAGGAUAGAGGACUGUUUGGUCAGAUCUCCAUAGCUGCAAAAAUCUUCAAUAAUCUGUGAACUCCGUCAGACAGUAAUAUUAAAAAUUCCUUGUUUUAUUGAUAUAUUCACAUCUAGAUAAAGGAGGUACAUGUCCAUAGGGGAGGAAAAGCAGCCAUUAAUUGUGCUAAAGUGGCCUCAGUCCAAAGACACUCCCUAAAGUAAAAUUUAGAGCACAAACUGAUGAAGUCUCUCUGAAGUAAAUUCUAAAAUACAUAAAAUGGCACGGGAAGUGUGGAGCCCUUCCAUCUUAUUUAGAUGAUCUCCAGAAGAGUAGUGUUUUUGUCCUCUUGUGGGUAUUUAAAUUACAAUUACCCUAAAAAGUGAAGUUAACUCGUGAAUAUGUGCUUUAAGCAGAUCCAACUUCAUUAGUUUUGAAAAUAAAACAAUUCUCUUCAAUGAUAUAACUUUAUACUUCAUAUUUGUUCAGACAUUGUCAAUUCAAUUUUUUGGUACGCGAUACAGCUAAAAAAAGUGGUAGUUGACAAAUGAAUGCCCAUCGGAUGGUACCACUUUGAUACAGUGCAUCCAGCGUUGUAGGCCUAAAAAAAUGCCCCUUCGCCAAGCUUCACUGUGAUGCCUAACUAACUACUCCCUCCGUUUCAUAUUUGUUAAUUGAUAAACUGAUUUCUUCCAGCUGCCCAAAAAACAGAGUACCAAUACACAUGAAGGUUGUUUAGUUGUUAAGGCAACUUUACAAAUCAUUUGGGAAUGGACUAAACACAUAUACACCAGUUGAAUGCAAAGAAAAGAAAUCAUUUAUCUACUAAUACUCCACUAAAUGAACUCCAGCAAUUCACAUCUCUAGUAUUGUAUUAUACAUGUCAAAGAAUGACAAACAGUACUUAUUCCUCCCUCGAAGUUGUCAAGGAAAUACAACCAGUAGAGAACCUGGAAGGAUAGUGAGCUCUAAACUCCAGAUAUCUAAGGGGGUAAUUGUAGAUAAGAUAGGACUUGCUUGGAUGCAUUUCAUAGAUAAUAAAUCUGUAAAGAGUGGUUAGGAGGUAAUCCCUUUGUAAACUAAUAUAAGACCGUUUAGAUCACAACUUUAGUGAUCUAAAGUAGUAGUCUAAACGGUCCUAUAUUAGUUUACAAAAGGGGUAACAUACAUAUCUGAACAUUUACACUUCUUAUCUUCAAUUCAGAGAUAAGACCGAAUAGUCUCUGGUCAGAUUUCCAUAGCCGCAAAAAGCUUCAAUAAUCUGUGAACUAUGUAAGACAGUAAUAUUAGAAACCCCUUAUUCUAUUGAUGUAUUCACAUCAAAAGAAAGGAGAUACAUGUCAACAGGGGGAAAAACCAACCAUCAGUUGUGCUAAUGUUACCACUCCAGAGUGGCCUUAGUCCAAAGACACCACCUGGAUUAAAUUUUAGAACACAAUAAGUUUCGGUUAACUGGUGAACGCUCUCUGAAGUGCAAUUUAAAACAUAUAAAAUGGCACGGGAAGUGUGGAGCCCAUCCAGCUGACUGAGAUCAUCUUGAGAAGAGUGGUGUUUUUGCCCUCUUAUGGAGAUUUGAAAGAGCAAUUACCCCAAAAAAGUGUAGUUAACUGAUGAAUACGUGUUGUAAGCAGGCCCAAGUUCAUUAGUUUUGGAAAUCAAAAAAUUCCUUUCAUAAUAUAAUUUUAUACUUCAUAUUUGUUCAGACAUUGCAAAUUUAUUUUUUGGUAUAAAGUAGAACUAAAAAGAACUGUUGAUACAUCAUACAUGUAUGCAUGAUAUUAUAAAGCAUCGAUAGAUUUUUUUUUAUUUAUUUAAAUGCUCACUCUUGUGAAUUUAGUAGCAGUUUAGUACGAAGUCCUGGAUCGCUAGCUGAUGGUGAUGAAACACAGCUAUUACUAUUGAGCUGCCCAGACAGAAGCAGUCCCGCUUCAGAUAUAGUCACACUAUGUAUGGGACACUUCAUAGAGAGAGAGAGAGAGACCCACCAGGUCACCACCAUGCAGCAGCACUGAACUACUCCUGUGAAAGUAGGUGAUGCAGCAGCAUGCAGGCCGGGAAACGGAAGACAGCAUGGAGGAAGCACACGAAGAAGACGACCCACACGCACGACGGACAGACCGACAAGACGGACGACGAUGAGCAAACGCAGCACUAUCCGGCGAAUCAGUAGAACCAGCACCAUGCCCUGAGCCACCGCGACGACCAACCGAAAGAGCACGGGAGCCACGAGGACGCCCAGGACGGCGCAAACCAUCACGACUGCAUGAAGGAGCAACCAUCGAGCAAUAGGAGAGAAAUGAGAGCACACGCACGACCAGAAGAGAAAAGCCAGCCCAUAUAUAGCACCUCACCAUGCUAGACAACUCUAGAACCCACGAGUACAUCAACACCGACGGAAAGCGACGCACACGAUGUAGAAAUACCAGACAAAGCGGCAGGGAUACGUCAGUUUGUACGGUGAAAACGACGGAACGAACGCCGCAUGAAAUAUCCGGACGGCGCAACCGCACCGCCUCGACCGAUUAGCUUUGCCUGUCACGUCACCGCCAUCGCUGCAUGGAUCAGCGCACAAAUCUUGUCGCUUUACUCCUGGAAGCAAACGCAACUCUCGCAGGCAGUUCCGAUUGGUGGACUGCGUCGUUCGACCGAUCCCGAUGCAUGGCACCGCCCGACAUGCAUCUGGAACCAAGUGCCAGUCAACUGUGCAGCCCAGAUUCAUCACAUAACUACGGCCGACACCUUUUGUCGCCUGACAGCUGCAAUCAAGUGCAAUCAAAUGGCCAAUUCCAAUUGGUCCGCUUGCUACCACGCGGCCUCACCCAAUUAGUCUGCAUGCAUGCAACAACUCGAUUAAUCAGCUAAUCUAUCUCUUCUUUUUGCCUUGAAUUUUCUACAGUUUAUAUUCAUGAGUAUUUUAUAGUCGUUU
This is a long non-coding RNA of Triticum urartu, 3854 nucleotides long. RefSeq lists it as uncharacterized. The record is from RefSeq and is a predicted model, not a curated record. NCBI's taxonomy places the organism in Eukaryota, Viridiplantae, Streptophyta, Magnoliopsida, Poales, Poaceae.